GUGGGAAUUGCCCCUGGUGGGAUAAAUAAAGCUCAAUUGAAUUCAAAUUGUAUUUGAGAUAAGAGAGAAGAAUAACAAAUAAUGAAAGAGCAGCAGUAAAUAACAAUAGUGGGGCUUUAUACAGGGAGUACCAGUACAGAGUCAAUGUGGAGGCUAUAUACAGGGUAUUACGGUACAGAGUCAAUGUGGAGGCUAUAUACAGGGGGUACCGGUACAGAGUCAAUGUGGAGGCUAUAUACAGGGGAGUACCGGUACAGAGUCAAUGUGGAGGCUAUAUACAGGGGAGGUACCAGUACAGAGUCAAUGUGGAGGCUAUAUACAGGG
Long non-coding RNA from Oncorhynchus tshawytscha (Chinook salmon), 324 nucleotides. The record is from Ensembl. Lineage: Eukaryota; Metazoa; Chordata; Actinopteri; Salmoniformes; Salmonidae.